CAUUAAUCAAGACUAAAUGAAAACAUUGCUUCUGUGCCUAACAAACUGACAUCUUCUUUAUAAACUAGAGAUUUUUUUUCUUGUGUACAAAACUUUCAUUUCAGUGAUUAUAUCAUGUUUGAAAACUGGUGGAGUGCCAAGGAAAAGGAGUGGGAAGUAAUCCAGAAAAACAGCUUUGUAUCAAAAAUAAAAAGGAACAAGUGCAAGUGAAAUUGAGGAUCCCUAGGAAGCUGUUUCCAGCAUUUGAGUGAUAUGUAUAGAAAACUACAAAAAGGAAGACAAAACAUCAAAGAACUUUUCAAGAUACAAGGGUAAUAAUUCAUUCAUCUUUGAAGAGCCACUCCCAUGAAGUUGUCAGAAUCAAGACCAUGGAGAGAUAGAGCUGCUUUAGAGGGACUCUUCAAACUCAUACAACUCUUGUCAGGACCCUUAAAAUUGAUAAGAAGGAUGGCCUCUGUGAACUCAUCUCCUAGGCUUCCAUGCCCUCUGGCUUGUGGUUUGAUGUGACCUUUGGGAGGUACUGGCAGGAGAUCAGAAGGUGAGAAGAGAGACAAGCUGGAGUAUUUGUUCACCCUAUGCCAUCUCUCUCUGGUCUGGAUUAUGGCCAUGGCUGCAUUCUAUGGUUAUAGCUCCCCUCAUCCAUGACCUAAAAUUACCCCUAGAUUCUAGAGUCUCAUAUAGUUUCCUAUCCUUUUCAGGCCUAACGUAGUAAAUAACUUCUGCUAGUCUCUGCCAUUUCACCACCCCUUGUGGGCUCUCUCACCUCCAUCCCCUCUAUAAACAGUUGCUUCAUUUACCUCUUUUAAGCUCAUCCCUCAGAGUGCACAUUUUACUUAUGGACUCCAGAAGAGACACUACUAAUCUACAUACCUUCAUGAAUAUAAUUUUAGAUCAUUUUUAAAAAUAAGAGCCACUUACCUAUGUCAUCAAUGUGUUAAACAUCAAUAUCAUAGGAUAGUCCCAUUGUAUCCUGAUCUAAAACAUGUUUAGAAGGAAUGUUAUUUGAUUCAUGGUAUAAGAAACUUUGAGACAGAAGAUCACCUGAUCUCAAGAGGUCAAGGCUGUAGUGAACUGUGAUUGUGCCGCUGCACUCCAGUGUGGGUGCUGGGUAACAGAGUGAGACCCUGUCUAAAAAGAAAGAAAGAAAAAGAAAGAACAAGAGAGGGAAGGAAGGAAGGACAGAAAGAAAGAAAAAGAGAAAGAAAGAAAGAAAAUUCAUUAAUGUAAAAUGUUAAAAUGGGAUCUACAAUAUUUCACCUUUCUGAUAAGGUUUAAAAAAUCAUCCAUAUACGUAAGAAAGCAUCUGCUGUGAGUUAUUUUAAUAACAAUUACAAAAAGGUUUGUUGGCUAUCUGAAUUCAUUUGGUAAAGUUCAAGCCAUUCUGUUCAUUCCUUGAAUUAAUUGUACAUUUUGGGGCCAUCCUGAUAUAUUUGCACUUGCCCACA
Molecule: long non-coding RNA, 1445 nt
Filed under: Callithrix jacchus (white-tufted-ear marmoset)
Lineage: Eukaryota; Metazoa; Chordata; Mammalia; Primates; Cebidae
Description: lncRNA (ENSCJAG00000077404.1)
Source: RNAcentral